Trichonephila clavipes is the source of this 73-nucleotide non-coding RNA. NCBI's taxonomy places the organism in Eukaryota, Metazoa, Arthropoda, Arachnida, Araneae, Nephilidae. The record is from the annotation of a GenBank genome assembly.
GUCCCUGUAGCACAUUGGCUACUGAGUUGGACUUCUAAUCCAAAGGUCGUGGAGUCGAAUCCCACCCGGGACG